UUAGAAAAUGGGUGCAUACUCCAUAUUUUCUGAGGUUACUUAAGAACUCAUACACAAGAUAACUAUAAAUAAGUUUUACUUAUUUAUGACAUUAAAAAGUGUAGCAAAGUACGAACGAUUUACUUUCCUAGCAAUUUAAAUUGAGUAUAAAAACAUACAUACAGAUAAAUGGCUUGAGAGCAUAAAUUUCAUCAGAAGUAUCGAGUGACUUUGUUAACACAAGAAUAUAUGCUUCUGUCAUAAUCAACUUCAUUAAGCUACAAAACUAGCUUAAAAUAGUAAGGCGGUGAGAAUAAAAUUCCUCAUUGUUCGAUGUUCAUGGCAUUGAUAGCUUGUUCAUUUUUAAAAUCAAGAACCGCUCGGUCAAAGGUGUUCCUAACAUGCUGGCACAUCAACAUUAGAUCCUGGCAUGAAUAUUUCAAUACUUAACUUGCUGGAUCUCCUGCAA
RNAcentral lists this long non-coding RNA (448 nucleotides) under Panax ginseng (ginseng). RNAcentral's name for it is "long non-coding RNA (PGIN_LNC003626)". The record is from RNAcentral. Lineage: Eukaryota; Viridiplantae; Streptophyta; Magnoliopsida; Apiales; Araliaceae.